GACGAACGCUGGGCGGCGUGCUUAACACAUGCAAGUCGAACGAAGAGCGACGGAAGCUUGCUUCUAUCAAUCUUAGUGGCGAACGGGUGAGUAACGCGUAAUCAACCUGCCCUUCAGAGGGGGACAACAGUUGGAAACGACUGCUAAUACCGCAUACGAUCUAAUCUCGGCAUCGAGGAUGGAUGAAAGGUGGCCUCUACAUGUAAGCUAUCACUGAAGGAGGGGAUUGCGUCUGAUUAGCUAGUUGGAGGGGUAACGGCCCACCAAGGCGAUGAUCAGUAGCCGGUCUGAGAGGAUGAACGGCCACAUUGGGACUGAGACACGGCCCAGACUCCUACGGGAGGCAGCAGUGGGGAAUCUUCCGCAAUGGACGAAAGUCUGACGGAGCAACGCCGCGUGAGUGAUGACGGCCUUCGGGUUGUAAAGCUCUGUUAAUCGGGACGAAAAGGCCUUUCUUGC
This 459-nucleotide ribosomal RNA is filed under the name Veillonella parvula. RNAcentral describes it as "bacterial SSU rRNA". It matches the Rfam family "Bacterial small subunit ribosomal RNA", at positions 28 to 463 of the family's 1533-position model. The record is from RNAcentral. Lineage: Bacteria; Bacillati; Bacillota; Negativicutes; Veillonellales; Veillonellaceae.